CAGGCCUAACACAUGCAAGUCGAGCGGACUUAUCCUUCGGGAUAGGUUAGCGGCGGACGGGUGAGUAACACGUAGGCAACCUGCCUGUAAGAUCGGGAUAACUACCGGAAACGGUAGCUAAGACCGGAUAGCUGGUUUCUCCGCAUGGGGGAAUCAUGAAACACGGGGCAACCUGUGGCUUACGGAUGGGCCUGCGGCGCAUUAGCUAGUUGGUGGGGUAACGGCCCACCAAGGCGACGAUGCGUAGCCGACCUGAGAGGGUGAUCGGCCACACUGGGACUGAGACACGGCCCAGACUCCUACGGGAGGCAGCAGUAGGGAAUCUUCCGCAAUGGGCGCAAGCCUGACGGAGCAACGCCGCGUGAGUGAUGAAGGUUUUCGGAUCGUAAAGCUCUGUUGCCAAGGAAGAACGCCUCGGAGAGUAACUGCUCUGAGGGUGACGGUACUUGAGAAGAAAGCCCCGGCUAACUACGUGCCAGCAGCCGCGGUAAUACGUAGGGGGCAAGCGUUGUCCGGAAUUAUUGGGCGUAAAGCGCGCGCAGGCGGUCUUUUAAGUUUGGUGUUUAAGCCCGGGGCUCAACCCCGGUUCGCACUGAAAGCUGGGAGACUUGAGUGCAGGAGAGGAAAGCGGAAUUCCACGUGUAGCGGUGAAAUGCGUAGAGAUGUGGAGGAACACCAGUGGCGAAGGCGGCUUUCUGGACUGUAACUGACGCUGAGGCGCGAAAGCGUGGGGAGCAAACAGGAUUAGAU
This 750-nucleotide ribosomal RNA is filed under the name uncultured bacterium. Its description in RNAcentral is "bacterial SSU rRNA". It matches the Rfam family "Bacterial small subunit ribosomal RNA", at positions 43 to 783 of the family's 1533-position model. The record is from RNAcentral.